GGGGGUCUGGCUUAAUGUUAAAGCGUGCGCUUCAAAGGUGCAAGAUACUAGUUCAAUUCUAGUGGUCUCCA
Molecule: transfer RNA, 71 nt
Filed under: Ascocoryne sarcoides NRRL 50072
Lineage: Eukaryota; Fungi; Ascomycota; Leotiomycetes; Helotiales; Gelatinodiscaceae
Description: tRNA-Leu (CAA) (tRNA-Leu-CAA-3-1)
Rfam family: tRNA
About the family: Transfer RNA (tRNA) molecules are approximately 80 nucleotides in length.
Source: RNAcentral